Molecule: ribosomal RNA, 465 nt
Filed under: uncultured bacterium
Lineage: Bacteria
Description: partial 16S ribosomal RNA
Rfam family: Bacterial small subunit ribosomal RNA
Source: RNAcentral
GACGAACGCUGGCGGCGUGCUUAACACAUGCAAGUCGAACGGAAAGGCCCCUUUGGGGGUCCUCGAGUGGCGCACGGGUGAGUAACACGUGAGUAACCUGCCCUUGACUUCGGGAUAACUUCAGGAAACUGGGGCUAAUACCGGAUAGGAAUCCUUGCUGCAUGGUGGGGGUUGGAAAGCUUCGGCGGUUUUGGAUGGACUCGCGGCGUAUCAGCUUGUUGGUGGGGUAGUGGCUUACCAAGGCUUUGACGGGUAGCCGGCCUGAGAGGGCGACCGGCCACAUUGGGACUGAGGUACGGCCCAGACUCCGACGGGAGGCAGCAGUGGGAAAUAUUGCACAAUGGGCGGAAGCCGGAUGCAGCAACGCCGCGGGCGGGAUGACGGCCUUCGGGUUGUAAACCGCUUUCAGCAGGGGCGAAGCUUGUGGUGACGUUACCUGCAGAAGAAGCACCGGCUAACUACGUG